ACAGCAGUCGCACGGUAAUACGUAGGGUGCAAGCGUUAAUCGGAAUUACUGGGCGUAAAGCGUGCGCAGGCGGUUAUAUAAGACAGAUGUGAAAUCCCCGGGCUCAACCUGGGAACUGCAUUUGUGACUGUAUAGCUAGAGUACGGCAGAGGGGGAUGGAAUUCCGCGUGUAGCAGUGAAAUGCGUAGAUAUGCGGAGGAACACCGAUGGCGAAGGCAAUCCCCUGGGCCUGUACUGACGCUCAUGCACGAAAGCGUGGGGAGCAAACAGGAUUAGAUACCCCAGUAGUCCCUGUCUCUUAUACA
Molecule: ribosomal RNA, 305 nt
Filed under: uncultured bacterium
Lineage: Bacteria
Description: partial 16S ribosomal RNA
Rfam family: Bacterial small subunit ribosomal RNA
Source: RNAcentral